UGCCAGCCGCCGCGGUAAUACGGAGGGGGUUAGCGUUGUUCGGAAUUACUGGGCGUAAAGCGCACGUAGGCGGACUAUUAAGUCAGGGGUGAAAUCCCGGGGCUCAACCCCGGAACUGCCUCUGAUACUGGUAGUCUUGAGUUCGAGAGAGGUGAGUGGAAUUCCGAGUGUAGAGGUGAAAUUCGUAGAUAUAGGAAGGAACACCAGUGGCGAAGGCGGCUCGCUGGCUCGAUACUGACGCUGAGGCGCGAAAGCGUGGGGAGCAAACCGGAUUAGAUA
RNAcentral lists this ribosomal RNA (279 nucleotides) under uncultured bacterium. Its description in RNAcentral is "partial 16S ribosomal RNA". It matches the Rfam family "Bacterial small subunit ribosomal RNA", at positions 506 to 784 of the family's 1533-position model. The record is from RNAcentral.